This 7184-nucleotide long non-coding RNA is filed under the name Brassica napus (rape). RNAcentral describes it as "long non-coding RNA (BNAP_LNC016783)". The record is from RNAcentral. Lineage: Eukaryota; Viridiplantae; Streptophyta; Magnoliopsida; Brassicales; Brassicaceae.
AUUCAUAUCGGCUGGAUCAUCAAGUCUGUUUAGAUCAAGAUCCAGUACGCCACAGGGAUUUGUGGGAUUGGCAAAUCUUUGGGAAGGCAGAUCUUCAAGAACUCUUUCAUCCGGUACAUUUAGGUCGAAGUCCAAGAAUGUCUUUGUUUGCUUGCCAGCGGUUGUAGAAGCAUCACAGGAAGCCACAUUAUUCAUGCUUAGUGGCACCACCUCUUGGACUUUUCUUGGCUCAGCUGGUCGGAAGGCGCUAGUGGCAGCAGAUCCUCUCCACCCAACAGCUGGUUUAUUUCUCAACAGAUCAUCACGCGGAACAAAAGCACCCUUUGCAGCAGCAGCAACUGUAAUGGAUGCAGGAGGUCGACUGGUUUGUAAAGGAGUAGAUGUCAAAGACAACGAUCCAGAGAAGUUACUUGAAUUCUCCUUUCGUGUGUCAUCCCCAUUGAAAGCUUCAUUUAGGUCAAAUUUAACUCCGGCUUCCAGCUCUGACCCUGCUAAAGCUGAAACUGAAGGGACAUCUUUGGCAACAGAGGUACAUUCCUCUGUUUCAUGCCCAUCAGCACAUGUUGUCGUGGCGCACUGUUUUCCGACUUCAGCACUCUUUAGAGACGCCUCCACAUGCUCAACUUCAAUCUUAGUUACAGAUGAGUCCAGAUGAGCUGUCACAGGUUUGUUCUUUUUAUCUGUUUGGUUCACAUGAUUAAUCCCUAUGUCGAUCUUUUCUGCAGCCACUCCCUUGGAGAACCCAGACGAAACUUUUACAUCUUCACCCGUUUCUUUAACCAACUCGGAACUCAAGACUACCGGGGGUUUCUGCUCUUUCUUGUUAUCAUCGACUACAUCAGAGUGCGAAUUUGCAACAGCCAAGGAAUCUACUUUGGGACAUAAUACGAUGGCUUUACAUUCAGCUGGCGCAGAAGUUUCCACUGAUGUACAAGCAGCCUUUCGAUCGUUAGCUGUUCCAUCACAAUCAUUAUCAUCAGACAAUUUCUCUGGCAUCGAUCUAUCAACAUUUUCAGUACUCCUAUCCUUGGCAAACUCUGACAAAACUGAAACCACUUCACCCAUUUUAUUAACUAGCUCAGAACUUAAUAUCACCUUUGGUUUAUCUUCCACCUGAGCACCACCAGCAGCCUCCAAGUGUGAAUCUUCAGCAGUCAAAGAAUCUGCAUUUUGACUUAUGCCAAUGGUUUUACAUAUACGUAGGGCAGAGUUUCCUGUCCUCAUCACUGUAUCUGCCACUCCAUCUGUCUCUGAUAUCUCAUCAGUCUUUAGGUCACUAACUACCCCACUAUCACCAUCAUCAGAAAUGUUUCCCCCAAUGCCUGAUGUGUGCCCAGCGGUUGGGGCAAUAUCAUCUGAAUUUUCAUUGCUUUCUAGGCACUGAUCCACCAAUCUUUGCAACUCUUCGAUUUCUGAAUCGGAGUUCUCAUCAAGAUCUCCCGGCUUAGAAUCAUUUUCAUUCUCUACAACGGCCAACUGCUCGCCACUACUACUGACAUGUUCAACAAUGGUGGGAUUCACAUUAUCCGCUUGCUCGCUAGGCAAGCCAUCCAAAGAAUCUGAAACCCGAGAUACCGAGGGUGAUGCAACAGGGGAUUUGGACAUUUCAUCAGCAGCAACAGUAGCUAGAAGAUUCAUUCCAACAUCAUCUGCACCAGCCACACAUGCAUUCGCCUCAGAGUCCCUGACACAACUUUCAAUCAAAGCAUUCAUUAAGCUGUGUGAUUCACCAUGCCCUUUUUCAGUUUUGACAUCAUCUCCCGAGGUAGGAGACGUGGGCUUGACAAUAUCUUCUAUUUUACUAGACUCAUUAACAGCCUUCUCGUGCUCACCACCACGUUCACCACAUUUAGGCAGCUUAACCAACAACUUAUUGCUACAACCUUCAGCUUUCUCAAAAGUUACAGUUCUUUGUGAUGAGAUGCUCCUGCUCAGCCCACCUUCUGCGUGGACUGCAACAGUAUUUUUUUGCUGCCCAACGUUAGCAACAGCAACACCUGUUCCAGGUGAUGGGGCUGAUCUAGUAGAACUUGGAGAGGUGGUUGCAGACUUCACGCUGUUAUCUGAAAUACCGGACACGGACUUAAAAGGAUGCAGAGGAGAUACUGAUGUCUUGGUUGCAUCAAAGGAUACAACUGAGUGUCUACUGCCAUGGGAAACUUCAGACUGACGAGGUCUUCCAGGCUUGGCAUCCAUUUCUGCCUCAACACGUUUCUUCCAUGUAUCAACCAAGCUCCUUGCCUUUUUCCCAAUUUCUGAGUUCUUAUGUGAUCGCAAUCGAUUAACAGACUUCCCAAUGUUGCAAGUCUGAAGAGCAUUGAGGUUCACAGGCAGCUUGUCAAGAGCACGUAGUAAAAUCAAAAGAAACUCGUCCACUGAUCUAUCAUUGUCUUUGGGACUGCUCCCAUCCCCAAUUUUCCUUCUAUGAAUCUCCUGUAGCCACUCAUCAAAAACAGAUAAACCCCUCAGCUGGACGAAACGACUGAGACAGUCAAACUUGUCUGUUGCAGCUACAGCACUUGCAAGAAUGGACCGCCCAAUCAAAUCUGUCUUCUUCUCAUUCUUCUCAGGUAGCAUGAGCUGUACCAAUUUCUCAACCCCUUCAGAAUCCACUAGCCUCCCUCUCUCAGUAAUUUUUGCAAUCUCAGACUUCAAACUGCUUUCUUUUCUUACAAAACCAGAACCACCAUCAUCACCUCGGCUCGGACGUUCCCUUUUCACAGAUUCAGAACCCUGAUCACCACGCUCUCUCUUCCUUCCCUUGCCCUGUGAAGAAGAGGAGCUACUGUUCUGCAUACCUUCUGUUCCUGUUUUCACUUGAGAUGUUGUUAACCUAGGAGAACAACCACACUGCUGUAAACUCUUACACAAUAAGUUAUCUACUUCUUGUUGACGUUCCUGCAUAAAAAAAAAAGACUUGUCAAAACCAGAGAAGAAACAUAAUUGGAUAACGAAUUUUAAUCACUCACUCACUCACAUCGAUAUAAUCUUGAUCAGUGAGCCACCAAAUAGACUCAUUCAUAACAUCAUAAACCCUCCAGCAAACAAACGAAGAGAUUCCAGAUGGGAGUUCAACGCCUCUGGGAAGAAAGGUAACUUUACACGGAUGAAGCAAAGACGCAGCAGGUAUCUCAUCCUCGUGAAAGGAGUAAAAGAUCUCGUUAGGCUGAGCCUCCAAAAGGACGCCCUUCCCAAGCUUCAACUCACCGGGUCGAUACAGCCAAUUCACACGAACCUUAAAGCUGCCUCCUUCUUCUCGUUCCGGAACCAGCAAACGGAUCAAACCAAUGAACGGUGGACAAUCCUGAGGCGGCUUGAACAGAGCACAGUCACCAACACUAAUCCUCCUCCCGUCCUGCAAUAACCAUCAUCAAAAUCAAAACUUUAAAUCAAAUCGGAACCAAUCAAAAGCCAAUUGAGACGAAUCAAGUUACCUUAGAGAAGGAAGAAGGUGAAGAAAGAGAGAGCGACGAAGAAGAAGAAGAAGCGGUUGAGAUUAGACGCGAAGGAGGUCUAAGCAUAAGCAGACGACGAUGACCUUUCUUCCUCCCAUGCAUAGCCGUCUCUCAUUUUUUCCCCUUUCGAAUCAAAACAAACACAAUUUCGUCUUCCUUGUCAGAAUUGGUUUUCGAUUAAAAAAAACCCUAAAAUUGAGAUUAAAAGAAGAAGAUGCGAUUCCUUAGGGAUUGAUUUUUGAAAUCGAGUACCUGAUCCAAUCAACCCGCGAAGAUCCAACAGCGAGAAGAAGAAGAAACCCCCGUAGAGUGCGAGACACGAAUCGAAAGCACGCCCUUGUUUGUUUUUUCGAUCCAGCGAAGAAGAAGAAGAAGAAGAAGAAGAAAAAAAAAUAAAAUCGAGAGAGAGAGAGAGAGAGAGACGAAGGCAAAAGGGGGGUACUACGAGUCGGGGCAGUUCGGGCAUGUGUUUCGGGCAGCGUUUUUAUUUAUUUUGUUUUUGGUUUUCUGGUGACAUUUGAGUGUGUUUUUCUUUUCUCCCCCCUUUUUAUAGCUCUUUUUGAUUUUUCUAAUUUUUUCCUAAAUUUAAAACAAAACGAACUUCGUGAUUUAAAAAAAAAAGUUAUUUGGGUUAAACACAAAAAAAAGUCUGAUCAUUUAUAAAAAUCAAACGAAAUUUAGGAUCAUUUUUAAUCAACAAACUCAAAAAUAAAUGUGAGUACUUUAUAAAAUAAAAUUAGAGAAAUGUUCUGCUCAUUUUGUUUCAUAUAAUGUAUUUUAAAAAAUGUUCUCGCGUAUUUAAAAUUGAAUUAGAAACUCUAUUUUAUCCGUUGACACACUUUUUUAUUUAUUUAAUACACUAAUACAAUAAGGUUAAAAAUGAACAUUUAUUUAAAUUUUGUAUUGAAAAUAAAAAACGACACACUUUUUGAAAUAAAAAUAAAACUCUAAACACACUUUUUAAGAAACUGGGAAGUAUUAUCUAAUAUUUAUAGAAGAAAAUAUCACAUUCAUCUAAAAAUAGAAAAAAAAAUAUAACAUAUUGGAGUAAAAUCUUCAUUUUCUGUAUCUUUAGAUAUGUGCACAUUUUCUUGCCAAGAAGAUAAGAAAUAUUGAAAUUUUCUUUUUUCCAUGUAGAUCAGAUCUGGUCUGAGAGAGCGUCUCUUUGGAACGUAUCAGCCAUGACUAAUACUUAUCUUAUAAAAUAAGUGUCGUAAAAAAAUGGAGUAAAAUUCCUAUGUAUUUGAAAAAUUCUAUUUUUAGUGGAAAAAAACUAGAAGAGAGAUUAUCUAUAUAGCAAGCAAACUAAAAUUAUAAGCAUGAAUAAGUUGUUUCCACAAGUUUACAAAACCGAUCAGUUUAUAUAAUAAUUUUGUGAUUUGAUCCAGUUUAUUCUGGCUGAUUACGGUUUGAAUGUGGUGACCUACCCUCCACAACAAGUUAUGUUUGGUUAUGAUUUUUAUGCGAGGAUCUUUUGGUUACAUUGUACAGUGUCAAAUCACUGUCAUCAAAGUACAAGUCAAUCAUUGUCUCUCUUUGACACAGACAUUAACUUUUUUUACAAUGAGACUAAGAAGCUAUUUGAGUAGCUUCCAGUGACAUGUCUUCUUCACUCACCGAUAGCUCCAAAACAUGUUCUUCACAAGGCACAAAAUAUGUAGAACAUCUCAAAGAUUUUGAGACAGUAAGGUUAAGCUAACUGAAGGUUCCAUAUUUGCAUAGGUGACAAGACUAGUCAAAAUUGGCAAUUGGAGAUGGUGCAAAAGAUGUUAGGAAUGCUUCAAGAAGCAGAUAUAGGAGUUGGGAUCAGUGGAGUGGAAGCAAUGCAGGUUCUUUAAAGAAUCUUAGGACAACCAUUUGCACGGUUUUGUAUCAAGGUAUAAUGAAUCAUUCAAAUCAAAAAGAGCUGCGUAGUUUGCUGUAUAGUGGAGUUUCUUAACCCAAAGCCUUGCUUCGUUUGCUGUAACUGUUCCCUAUAUUGUACCAGGAAGUGGUACAAAAUCUCCCCUUUGGUUGUUACAUGGCUUCUGCAGCACAAUAACCAUUUUCUUCCUCUGCAAAACCUCUCUUGAAUCCCAAGCUUUCAACCACCAAGGGAAAACCGCAGGGGAGAGAGAGAUUUUUGGAGGAACUAUGUACACAUGUGGGUUGAGUUAGCAGAUGGUACAAUCAGUUACUACCUGUUAUUGCAAAUUUGCAAUAUAUGAGCCAUUUUGUUAUAACAGAGACAAAGUUCUGAAAUGUGGAUUCAAACAUAACUAACCACAAGUAAAAAAAAUCUACAAAAGAGUUGCUGCUGACUAUAUAAUACACAAACCAUGUCAGAUUUUACCAGUCUCAUACCAACAAUGACCAUCAUUUUUUCUUUUACAGCAGAGCUCCAAAAAAAAGAGAAAAAAAAAACAUAAACUAAACACUCGCUUGCAUCUCUAAAAGAGAUAAGGAACUAAGUUAGCGUCUGCUUUUAUCUUCAAGAGUACCUAAGAGCCAACAAAGAUUGAAUUAGAAACACAGUCAGCGAGAGAUAAUAUAAAGAAACAGAAGAUGGUAGAGCUGAAAGAAGAGAGUAAAAAUAUGCUUACAUGCUUAGUGCAACGGCCUACAAAGAGAUUCUGAGGUUUGUUAUUGCCAAGAGGGUUGCUUGUAUCCAUCCCAUCCACCACUGUCUGGUUCCUUCCUCUUGAGAGUACCACCAAACAUUUGAUACAUUCUUGCUUCAUCUUUCAAGGGUAAAGAACCAGAGGAAGAUAGCUGUCUUUGUACAAGUGCUGCUUCAUCUCUGCCAUCAGUUUCAUGCCCUCCUGGUCCAGAGUUCAAGUCAAGACCAGAUCUAAACCAUUUUGCAUUGUUGCUGCUGUCCGAAACUCCACCAUUGCUACUACCGUUUGGGAGAUUAACGACAUAAGGUCUUGGGUAGUUAGAAGGGAUGGCAACUCCUGGACCCAAUAUUUGAGAGUUGACAGGAGGGAAGCAUAGCCUGCCACUUGAUGAAGAGUCCAUGUAUGGUGUUGAAGCACCUGAAAAAUUUGCUGAGGAAAGAGGAAAGCUGGAACCAAAAGGAAACCCAGGAUACUGAAAUGCUGAUGGUGGGAAUGAAACUGCUGGAGAAGACAGUAAAACAGGGCCUCUGUACAUAUCAGGUGUAUAUGAUGAAACUUCAGAUGUUGGACCAACCAUUCUCUGCGGUCCAUUGCCACGUUCAGGCAAGACUUGAGGAAUGCUCAUUGCUGAAUAAUUGUUAACAGCAGGAAACCAAGAUGAGAAGCCAGGCCUUAUUCCACUGAUCAUUGGCUGUGCACUUCGGGAAUUUUGACUAAAACCCAGAGAUGACUCAACAACGUUAACAUCAUCAACAGCAGGUCCAUCGUUUAAAUCAAAAUCCCUACUACCACCAGAAGAUAAGUUUGUCUGUUGAAAAGUUGAAUUCACCCGAUGACCACUGCUUACCGUAUGAUUAUUCAUAUCGGCUGGAUCAUCAAGUCUGUUUAGAUCAAGAUCCAGUACGCCACAGGGAUUUGUGGGAUUGGCAAAUCUUUGGGAAGGCAGAUCUUCAAGAACUCUUUCAUCCGGUACAUUUAGGUCGAAGUCCAAGAAUGUCUUUGUUUGCUUGCCAGCGGUUGUAGAAGCAUCACAGGAAGCCACAUUAUUCAUGCUUAGUGGCACCACCUCUUGGACUUUUCUUGGCUCAGCUGGUCGGAAGGCGCUAGUGGCAGCAGAUCCUCUCCACCC